CAGAAAAUAGUUUAAUAUUAAAAUAUUAAUUUUGGAGAUUAAUGAUAAGAGGUUUCUUUUUUCUGA
Molecule: transfer RNA, 66 nt
Filed under: Nyssomyia umbratilis
Lineage: Eukaryota; Metazoa; Arthropoda; Insecta; Diptera; Psychodidae
Description: tRNA-Pro
Source: RNAcentral